UAGUGGCGAACGGGUGAGUAACACGUGGGCAAUCUGCCCUUCACUCUGGGACAAGCCCUGGAAACGGGGUCUAAUACCGGAUAACACUCCUGCCUGCAUGGGUGGGGGUUAAAAGCUCCGGCGGUGAAGGAUGAGCCCGCGGCCUAUCAGCUUGUUGGUGAGGUAGUGGCUCACCAAGGCGACGACGGGUAGCCGGCCUGAGAGGGCGACCGGCCACACUGGGACUGAGACACGGCCCAGACUCCUACGGGAGGCAGCAGUGGGGAAUAUUGCACAAUGGGCGAAAGCCUGAUGCAGCGACGCCGCGUGAGGGAUGACGGCCUUCGGGUUGUAAACCUCUUUCAGCAGGGAAGAAGCGAAAGUGACGGUACCUGCAGAAGAAGCGCCGGCUAACUACGUGCCAGCAGCCCGCGGUAAUACGUAGGGCGCAAGCGUUGUCCGGAAUUAUUGGGCGUAAAGAGCUCGUAGGCGGCUUGUCACGUCGGUUGUGAAAGCCCGGGGCUUAACCCCGGGUCUGCAGUCGAUACGGGCAGGCUAGAGUGGGGUAGGGGAGAUCGGAAUUCCU
This 565-nucleotide ribosomal RNA is filed under the name Streptomyces sp. 316H09. RNAcentral describes it as "bacterial SSU rRNA". It matches the Rfam family "Bacterial small subunit ribosomal RNA", at positions 93 to 671 of the family's 1533-position model. Lineage: Bacteria; Bacillati; Actinomycetota; Actinomycetes; Kitasatosporales; Streptomycetaceae. The record is from RNAcentral.